RNAcentral lists this ribosomal RNA (461 nucleotides) under uncultured bacterium. RNAcentral's name for it is "partial 16S ribosomal RNA". It matches the Rfam family "Bacterial small subunit ribosomal RNA", at positions 330 to 792 of the family's 1533-position model. The record is from RNAcentral.
CCCAGACUCCUACGGGAGGCAGCAGUGGGGAAUAUUGCACAAUGGGGGGAACCCUGAUGCAGCGACGCCGCGUGGGUGAAGGAGCACCUCGGUGCGUAAAGCCCUAUCGGCAGGGAAGAAAAGCGAACAGGUUCGCCUGGACGGUACCUGAGUAAGAAGCUCCGGCUAAAUACGUGCCAGCAGCCGCGGUAAUACGUAUGGAGCAAGCGUUAUCCGGAUUUACUGGGUGUAAAGGGAGCGCAGGCGGCGCGCCAAGUCUGAUGUGAAACCCCGGGGCUCAACCCCGGGCAUGCAUUGGAAACUGGCGGGCUGGAGUGCCGGAGAGGUAAGCGGAAUUCCUAGUGUAGCGGUGAAAUGCGUAGAUAUUAGGAGGAACACCAGUGGCGAAGGCGGCUUGCUGGACGAUGACUGACGUUGAGGCUCGAAAGCGUGGGGAGCAAACAGGAUUAGAUACCCUAGUA